AUACGGAGGGUGCAAGCGUUAUUCGGAAUCACUGGGCGUAAAGGACGCGUAGGCGGGUUGGCAAGUCAGAUGUGAAAUCCUACAGCUUAACUUUAGAACUGCAUUUGAAACUGCUAACCUAGAGUAUGGGAGGGGGAGAUGGAAUUAGUGGUGUAGGGGUAAAAUCCGUAGAUAUCACUAGGAAUACCGAAAGCGAAGGCGAUCUCCUGGAACAUAACUGACGCUAAGGCGUGAAAGCGUGGGGAGCAAACAGGAUUAGAUACCCUAGUAGUCC
This 274-nucleotide ribosomal RNA is filed under the name uncultured bacterium. Its description in RNAcentral is "partial 16S ribosomal RNA". It matches the Rfam family "Bacterial small subunit ribosomal RNA", at positions 523 to 796 of the family's 1533-position model. The record is from RNAcentral.